RNAcentral lists this long non-coding RNA (1085 nucleotides) under Notechis scutatus (mainland tiger snake). RNAcentral describes it as "lncRNA (ENSNSUG00000016183.1)". Lineage: Eukaryota; Metazoa; Chordata; Lepidosauria; Squamata; Elapidae. The record is from RNAcentral.
CAACAGGGAUUCUCCUCCCACUUCUACCAGUUUAAUCAGCUCACCUGGCUUUGCACCAUUUGUAAUGAAGCUUUACCACUAACUCUGAACCAAAGCCUUGUUUGUUUUUCAGCUUCUCCAGGGCUGAAUUUACAUACUGUAAGGAGAGCUGAGUUUACACAGGCAAAAAAUAAACUUGUUGGAAGCUCAGUAUCUGACAUGGCUCAGAGAAUCCAGCCAGGAAGGCAGUGUUUCUGGAGCUGAAACCUGAAUUAAAGAGCAACCCCAUCAGCCUCAAUGAAGACGCCUACUGCUGAUGCCUCUUACCGCAGACCAAAGGACUUUGUACUGCUGCUUGAAACUAACAGAGAAUCUGAGAAAGAUAACCAACUAUUGCAGCAAUAUUGGAGAUGGUGUAUGUUAUACUAGCAAGACAAUUGAACUGAUAUCAUACCUCUUGAUGAAUUUGCCUAAAACAAUGCAGCACACUUCUCUGUCGGUAGGUUCCCAUUUCAGGAAACUUAUGGAUUCCACCCAUGGGUCUCACCACUAACCAGGCAAAAAGUACCAGUUCCUCAUGCCACAGAUUUCCUAUUCAAGUGGCAAGGGGCACAAAACCUCUUAAAGAAACAACUAAAAUUAGCAAAGAUUGUGUGCAAAACAGGAUGCAGACAAGAGUUAAAUAGAAUUACAGAAAGGGAUUUGGUGGUUGCUUCCGGUUUGCUAGGCUGCGGCGGCGGCAGGAAUCCGCAAUCGUGCACGGUUCCUGCUGCGCUCGCUACUGGAGUGCCCCCGAUCCAGCUGGAUUUGGAGGCUAUGGUUGCCCCGUAGAGGCAACCGAAGAGAGGGGAGAUCCGGGUAGGGGCUUGGGGGUAUCGCAAACCCCCUCCUCAGCCAGCACAACUCCCUUUUCCAAAAGCGGUGGAGUGGCGGUCAGCAAUGGCCGCCACAAAGAAGCUUGCAGCCGGACAAGAUUGUGCAGGAGGAAGUCGGAGAAAGUGAAAGUUUUUGGCUGAACCGGGACAAUAAGGAAUUUCUAAAUACCCUGGCAACUUAAUCCUUUAUAUGAUACAUUGUUUCCCAAGAAGAGCGUAAAAGCGGCGGAA